GAUGAGCGCUGGCGGCGUGCCUAAUACAUGCAAGUCGAGCGGACGGACGAGGCUCUUGCUUCGCUGAUGUUAGCGGCGGGCGGGUGAGUAACACGUGUAUACCCUCCCUAUAAGACUGAGAUCACUUCGGGAAACCGGAUCUAACACCGGAUAAGAUUUUGAACCGCAUGGUUCAAAGGAGAAAGACGGUCUUGCUGUCACUAAUCGAGGCAUCCUCGCUGGAUUAGCUAGUUGGUAAGGUAACGGCCUACCAAGGCUACGAUGCGUGGCCGAACUGAGAGGGUGAUCGGCCACACUGGAACUGAGACACGGUCCAGACUCCUACGGGAGGCAGCAGUAGGGAAUCUUCGGCAAUGGGCGAAAGCCUGACGCAGCCAGGCCGCGUGAGUGAUGAAGGUCUUCGGAUCGUAAAGCUCUGUUACUAGGGAAGAACAGCUGUGUCAGGAAACGUGGCCAUCUUGACGGUACCUACUAAAAAAGCACCGGCUAACUACGUG
This 497-nucleotide ribosomal RNA is filed under the name uncultured bacterium. RNAcentral's name for it is "partial 16S ribosomal RNA". It matches the Rfam family "Bacterial small subunit ribosomal RNA", at positions 28 to 507 of the family's 1533-position model. The record is from RNAcentral.